This 76-nucleotide transfer RNA is filed under the name Agitococcus sp. Its description in RNAcentral is "tRNA-Thr". It matches the Rfam family "tRNA". Rfam says of the family: Transfer RNA (tRNA) molecules are approximately 80 nucleotides in length. Their secondary structure includes four short double-helical elements and three loops (D, anti-codon, and T loops). Further hydrogen bonds mediate the characteristic L-shaped molecular structure. tRNAs have two regions of fundamental functional importance: the anti-codon, which is responsible for specific mRNA codon recognition, and the 3' end, to which the tRNAs corresponding amino acid is attached (by aminoacyl-tRNA synthetases). tRNAs cope with the degeneracy of the genetic code in two manners: having more than one tRNA (with a specific anti-codon) for a particular amino acid; and 'wobble' base-pairing, i.e. permitting non-standard base-pairing at the 3rd anti-codon position. The record is from RNAcentral. Lineage: Bacteria; Pseudomonadati; Pseudomonadota; Gammaproteobacteria; Moraxellales; Moraxellaceae.
GCCGGUUUAGCUCAUUUGGUAGAGCACCUGACUUGUAAUCAGGGGGUGGCAGGUUCAAGUCCUGCAAUCGGCACCA